CCUACGGGAGGCAGCAGUGGGGGAUAUUGCACAAUGGGGGAAAGCCUGAUGCAGCGACGCCGCGUGUGGGCAGACGGUCCUCUGGAUUGUAAACCACUGUCACCAGGGACGAAGAUGACGGUACCUGGGGAGGAAGCUCCGGCUAACUACGUGCCAGCAGCCGCGGUAAUACGUAGGGAGCGAGCGUUGGCCGGAAUUACCGGGUGAAAGGGGAGCGUAGGCGGGGAUGCAAGUUGGGUGUAAAAACUACCGGCUCAACUGGUAGUCGCACUCAAAACUGCAGCUCUUGAGUGAAGUAGAGGCAGGCGGAAUUCCUAGUGUAGCGGUGAAAUGCGUAGAUAUUAGGAGGAACACCAGUGGCGAAGGCGGCCUGCUGGGCUUUUACUGACGCUGAGGCUCGAAAGUGUGGGGAGCAAACAGGAUUAGAUACCCUUGUAGUC
This 440-nucleotide ribosomal RNA is filed under the name uncultured bacterium. RNAcentral describes it as "partial 16S ribosomal RNA". It matches the Rfam family "Bacterial small subunit ribosomal RNA", at positions 338 to 795 of the family's 1533-position model. The record is from RNAcentral.